CACACAAGCAGACUGUCACAUAACAAGCUGGUGCUUGCUGCUGGCAACAUCUGGGCAAUAUUAGUGCUAUUAACAAUGUGACCUCUUACAAGGUGCACUCCCUCUUAAAGUGUUUUACUCAUCUGUAGGUAGAUGCUACCAAGCGAUCUGUUUCAAGACACCAGUUAAUGGCAGGUGCAGCAAAAACAUUCACUAGCUGCUUCUGAGAUUUCCGAUCUCAAGGUCCACAAAGACCAUAUGAUUCUCCUCUGCUAAUCUAUGUUUGCUAGCCUGUAUUUUCUUCUAUUCAGCAGGGUAGAAAGCCAGGGAGGAUGCUAAGUUAUUUUAUUUCUUUAAAGAGUCAAAAGUACUGAAGUGUUUAAACAGUGUGUUUAGAGUCAACACUUACCUUCUUGGCAGAGAAGAUUGGCUGCUUUUGUUUGAGGGGUCCAUUAGUCUUUCCUGACUUUUCUGUAGCUCUGUUGACAGUUCCCAAAGCCUUUCUGGCAGGUUUAGGUAGGGCAGAUGGCGCAUCAAAUAUUUUACCAAUAUGUGGUGUUGAAACCUGAGAUUUCCCAUCUAAGGCUUUGACUGCUGAAGAAAAAUAGUUUAAGAUUAUUUAAGCAGUAAACAGCUGUGUAACUUUGAAGGCUGACUGGCUGACUGGUAUUUAAACUUGUCCUAAUUCUCACCCCUAAACUCGCCCCGAUUUUUGACAAUGGCAUGGCUAUGAUAUGCUCAACAGCACUUCAGUUCAGUGCUCUCUUAAAUAAUCCUAUUAAGAUACUAAGCAAGAAAAAGAAACCCAUAACAAAUUGUUUGCAAUAAGAGGGAGCCGUAGACUUGACAACAAUUACCGACAGAGCACACCAAAUCCCUGAGCUAGCUCUGGACCACAUGCACAAUUAAUUCAGAAUAGUUGUAUUUUCAGUUGUAGCCUGUGUACUUACAAGACCCAGAUCCCAGCUUCAGUCCAUCCUUGGGAGCAACACGAGUGCCUACUUCUCCAUUUUCCUUAUCAACAAAAAUCAGAGUAGCCAUUCUGGAUUACUCUAGGGGUGAUACAUAAAUAUUAGACCCUGAGGGUUAUGGAAGCCGAGAAAAGGCUGAGGCGCCAAAAGGCGGAUUAAAAACAAACAAACCCGUUGCCCUCCAGUCAACUCCGAUUCACAGGGACCCUAUAGGACAGAACAGAACAGAACUGCCCUAUAGGGUUUCCAAGGAGGGCCUGGUGGAUUCGAACUGCCAGCCUUUUCGUUAGCAGCUGUAGUUCUUAACCACUAAGCCACCAGGGUUUCCAAGCGGCAGAUUGACCAUGUGAAAUCACGCACUACCGAUUAGCAAGUAAACACAAGUAAACUCGUGCAUACCUGGCUUACUGGUUAAUCCGCCCCAGUAACAGGACAAAACUUGCCCACCCCGUGAACGGCCACAUACCAAGAAAAGCUACACAGGGAGAGAAGCCCGUGUUUGAGCCAGUAAGCACUUAACUCAGCUCUUAACUCUUCAAACCUGAGUCAGGGGCUCUAAGCUUCUGAGGAGCAGGCGGUUUGAGUUCCGCACAGGCCCUGGCACCUACCAGACGAGAGCCGCCGGGAGUCCCAGACGUGCCAGUAAGCCCGGCGCAGUGAAAUCGACACCUGCCAGCCCUCCUACCUCCCCUUGGAACUCAGCUCUCCCGACCACACCAGGAGCCUCCGUGGACCCACCUCGAUCUCAACAGCCAAAUUCACCCGAGACUCAGCCGCCCGCGGUCGCGCCACGCUCGGCGUUUAAACUACAACUAGCGCCCCUAUUGGUUCGUCAGCCCAGGCGGCGUGGUGGGGGCUGGACGCCCAGGAAGAGCCAAUGGGAGGCGUCCAAACUCUCUGGGCUGCGCCCCAAAGCCCUUUCCGGAAGUUUGCAGCUAGUUUUCAAGGGACGCUGCUUGGAAACUCAACGGGGCAGGUUUACUCCAUCCUAUAGGGUCGCUGGGUCGGAAUCUACUGGAAGGCACAAGAACAACUGAUGGAUUCCAACCCGCAAUUUUUCAGUUAGCAGCCGAGCACUUAGCCACUGUGCCACCAGGGAGAUGAAAGGAGCUUUUGAAGGACUAAGUGGGUCAACAGUUUCGAACUUUGAUGUGAGUCAGAAUCAGAUGUGGUGCUUGUCAAAAAUACAAACCCUGGAGGCGGAGCUAAGAUGGCGGCUUAGUCACACACACCAUAAGGUCCCCCUCUACCAAAGACCCCAAAAAACAAGCAAAUCAGAAGCAAAUAACAAUCCAGGAACCUUGAAUGUCAAAAAAGAAAGUCUAAGGACUGCAUCGAAUACCAACUGGAAGGAAUAAAGAAAGCAGUGAAAAGAGUAACACUGAACAGUGGAGCUCCACCAGUCCUUCCAGGCCACCACAACUAACUUAAGACUAAGCCAGCAGAGACUGUGACCCUAAUACCUCACAGCAUGUUUUCUCUUUUUCAAAAUGGGUGACUGAGAGCUUGACAUGACUAACGCCAUAACGAUACUCCAAGUAACCUAUAAGUUUUUUUUAACUGUACCAGCUGCACUGGUCUCUUUCCAAAAGGGCGUGGGGCCUUCUCGGCUCUUGCGGCUUUGGUCUCCCUCCUGUUCUUUGUUCUCUUGGGAGAUGACCUUCAGCCUGCAAGACUGCAGCUAGAAAGGCUGUCUGGCACUUUUGGUCUAUAACUUUCUUUCUUGCUCCUCAUCUCAGUCAGAGUAAACUUGGCAGGCUAGUUCCACUGC
Molecule: long non-coding RNA, 2721 nt
Organism: Loxodonta africana (African savanna elephant)
Lineage: Eukaryota; Metazoa; Chordata; Mammalia; Proboscidea; Elephantidae
Exons: 3
Source: RefSeq, a predicted model, not a curated record